CAGCGUGCUGGGUCUCCAUCCUGCAGGCAACCAUGCAGCUGCUGUGGUCCCUCCUCUGCCUUCUGGCAGCUCCCCUGGGUGUCCUAUCUCAACUUACACUUCAGGAGUCAGGCCCAGGACUGGUGAAGCCCUCACAGACACUCUCUCUCACAUGUGUUGUCUCCAGGGGCUCCGUCACCAGCAGUUACUAUUGGAACUGGAUCCGCCAGCGCCCUGGGAGAGCACUGGAGUGGAUGGGCUACUGGACAGGUAGUACAAGCUACAACCCGGCUUUCCAGGGCCGCAUCUCCAUCACUGCUGACACAUCCAAGAACCAGUUCUCCCUGCAGCUGAGUUCCGUGACCACCGAGGACACAGCCGUGUAUUACUGUGCUAGAGGCACACUGAGGAGAAAUCAGU
This is a non-coding RNA of Enhydra lutris kenyoni (northern sea otter), 399 nucleotides long. NCBI's taxonomy places the organism in Eukaryota, Metazoa, Chordata, Mammalia, Carnivora, Mustelidae. The record is from the annotation of a RefSeq genome assembly.